AUCCUGGCUCAGAUUGAACGCUGGCGGCAGGCCUAACACAUGCGAGUCGAAUGGUAACAGGAAACAGCUUGCUGUUUCGCUGACGAGUGGCGGACGGGUGAGUAAUGUCUGGGAAACUGCCUGAUGGAGGGGGAUAACUACUGGAAACGGUAGCUAAUACCGCAUAACGUCGCAAGACCAAAGAGGGGGACCUUCGGGCCUCUUGCCAUCAGAUGUGCCCAGAUGGGAUUAGCUAGUAGGUGGGGUAACGGCUCACCUAGGCGACGAUCCCUAGCUGGUCUGAGAGGAUGACCAGCCACACUGGAACUGAGACACGGUCCAGACUCCUACGGGAGGCAGCAGUGGGGAAUAUUGCACAAUGGGCGCAAGCCUGAUGCAGCCAUGCCGCGUGUAUGAAGAAGGCCUUCGGGUUGUAAAGUACUUUCAGCGGGGAGGAAGGGAGUAAAGUUAAUACCUUUGCUCAUUGACGUUACCCGCAGAAGAAGCACCGGCUAACUCCGUG
Molecule: ribosomal RNA, 502 nt
Filed under: uncultured bacterium
Lineage: Bacteria
Description: bacterial SSU rRNA
Rfam family: Bacterial small subunit ribosomal RNA
Source: RNAcentral